Molecule: ribosomal RNA, 473 nt
Filed under: uncultured bacterium
Lineage: Bacteria
Description: bacterial SSU rRNA
Rfam family: Bacterial small subunit ribosomal RNA
Source: RNAcentral
ACCGGCGGACGGGUGAGUAACACGUGACCAACCUACCUUCGGGAGGGGGAUAACCUGGGGAAACCCGGGCUAAUACCGCAUGAUGCACUCUGGUCGCAUGACCUAGGUGUGAAAGGGGGCCUCUGCUUGCAAGCUCCUACCUGAAGAGGGGGUCGCGACGUAUCAGCUAGUUGGUAGGGUAACGGCCUACCAAGGCUACGACGCGUAGCGGGUCUGAGAGGACGACCCGCCACAUUGGGACUGAGAUACGGCCCAGACUCCUACGGGAGGCAGCAGUGGGGAAUAUUGCGCAAUGGCCGAAAGGCUGACGCAGCGACGCCGUGUGUGGGAGGAAGCCCUUCGGGGUGUAAACCACUGUCAGGGGGGAAGAAACCAGGUCGGACAAAUAGGCCGAUCUGCUGACGGUACCUCCAAAGGAAGCGCCGGCUAACUCCGUGCCAGCAGCCGCGGUAAGACGGAGGGCGCAAGCGUUG